UUAACACCUAUAAACAAGUGUUUCAAAAACCUAUAAUCUAUUAAAUCAUUAUACAAAAGGUUUUGAAAAUACUUAUCUAAUUUAAUUAAAAAAAAAACUCGAAUUGAACUUUUAUUCUUUCACUCUUCAGCCCACACCGAUCUCCCCGUUGUUGCAGUCCUCCAUUGUUUUCGUAUCUCCCACACUGCCCUCCCCUGUCACAUCUUUUCCUAGCGCCGCCAGUUCACUCCAUUUCCAAAUCGUAGAUGCAUCCC
Molecule: long non-coding RNA, 254 nt
Filed under: Salvia miltiorrhiza (redroot sage)
Lineage: Eukaryota; Viridiplantae; Streptophyta; Magnoliopsida; Lamiales; Lamiaceae
Description: long non-coding RNA (SMIL_LNC010925)
Source: RNAcentral